AUUCAUAUAGCUUAUAUUUUAGGGCACAACACUGAAGAUGUUGGGGAGAUAGAUAUCUGUGAAUA
This 65-nucleotide transfer RNA is filed under the name Pseudeuphausia sinica. RNAcentral describes it as "tRNA-Phe". The record is from RNAcentral. Lineage: Eukaryota; Metazoa; Arthropoda; Malacostraca; Euphausiacea; Euphausiidae.